Molecule: long non-coding RNA, 206 nt
Filed under: Hordeum vulgare
Lineage: Eukaryota; Viridiplantae; Streptophyta; Magnoliopsida; Poales; Poaceae
Description: long non-coding RNA (HVUL_LNC020716)
Source: RNAcentral
UAGGCUGGUCCUUUAGAGUUCCAGUUCCCAACUUGGCAGGUUCAUCCGUUGAGGACCAACUCAAAGGUAAAGACGUGAGCAUUUGGAUUCAUUGGUUUCCCAUACCGUGUUCAUUUCUUGUUGCAAGUGUACAUGGCGAUUGAUCCAUCAGCGUGAUUGCUCCAUCCUUGUUGGCAUAAAGCGACUAUUUUUCCUUACCCUUUUUU